Molecule: ribosomal RNA, 569 nt
Filed under: Liangdongia laemsonensis
Lineage: Eukaryota; Fungi; Ascomycota; Saccharomycetes; Phaffomycetales; Wickerhamomycetaceae
Description: eukaryotic LSU rRNA
Rfam family: Eukaryotic large subunit ribosomal RNA
Source: RNAcentral
AAACCAACAGGGAUUGCCUCAGUAACGGCGAGUGAAGCGGCAAGAGCUCAAAUUUGAAAUCUGGUAGUUUUACUGCCCGAGUUGUAAUUUGAAGAGUCCAACCUUGGGUUGCAGCACUGUCUAUGUUUCUUGGAACAGGACGUCACAGAGGGUGAGAAUCCCGUGAGGUGGUGCGUUGCUUCUCUUGUAGGUUGUUCUCGACGAGUCGAGUUGUUUGGGAAUGCAGCUCUAAGUGGGUGGUAAAUUCCAUCUAAAGCUAAAUAUUGGCGAGAGACCGAUAGCGAACAAGUACAGUGAUGGAAAGAUGAAAAGAACUUUGAAAAGAGAGUGAAAAAGUACGUGAAAUUGUUGAAAGGGAAGGGCAUUAGAUUAGACUUGGCGCUUCAGGCACAUCCUCCUCUUGUAGGGGGUGCACUCCUGUUGCGCUGGGCCAGCAUCGAUUUGUGCGGUGGGAUAAAACCUUUGGGAUGUAGCUGUCUUUUCAGUGUUAUAAACAAAGGGCAUGCCACCAGCGUAGAUCGAGGACUGCGUCUUUUGACUAGGAUGCUGGCGUAAUGAUCUAAUGCCGC